CCUACGGGAGGCUGCAGUGGGGAAUAUUGGACAAUGGGGGGAACCCUGAUCCAGCCAUGCCGCGUGUGUGAAGAAGGCCCUCGGGUUGUAAAGCACUUUCAGUGAGGAAGAACGCCUGGUGGUUAAUACCCAUCAGGAAAGACAUCACUCACAGAAGAAGCACCGGCUAACUCCGUGCCAGCAGCCGCGGUAAUACGGAGGGUGCGUGCGUUAAUCGGAAUUACUGGGCGUAAAGCGCGCGUAGGUGGCUUGAUAAGCCGGUUGUGAAAGCCCCGGGCUCAACCUGGGAACGGCAUCCGGAACUGUCAAGCUAGAGUGCAGGAGAGGAAGGUAGAAUUCCCGGUGGAGCGGUGAAAUGCGUAGAGAUCGGGAGGAAUACCAGUGGCGAAGGCGGCCUUCUGGACUGACACUGACACUGAGGUGCGAAAGCGUGGGUAGCAAACAGGAUUAGAUACCCCUGUAGUC
Molecule: ribosomal RNA, 465 nt
Filed under: Vreelandella stevensii
Lineage: Bacteria; Pseudomonadati; Pseudomonadota; Gammaproteobacteria; Oceanospirillales; Halomonadaceae
Description: partial 16S ribosomal RNA
Rfam family: Bacterial small subunit ribosomal RNA
Source: RNAcentral